AGAGUUUGAUCCUGGCUCAGGACGAACGCUGGCGGCGUGCCUAAUACAUGCAAGUCGAACGAACUCUGGUAUUGAUUGGUGCUUGCAUCAUGAUUUACAUUUGAGUGAGUGGCGAACUGGUGAGUAACACGUGGGAAACCUGCCCAGAAGCGGGGGAUAACACCUGGAAACAGAUGCUAAUACCGCAUAACAACUUGGACCGCAUGGUCCGAGUUUGAAAGAUGGCUUCGGCUAUCACUUUUGGAUGGUCCCGCGGCGUAUUAGCUAGAUGGUGAGGUAACGGCUCACCAUGGCAAUGAUACGUAGCCGACCUGAGAGGGUAAUCGGCCACAUUGGGACUGAGACACGGCCCAAACUCCUACGGGAGGCAGCAGUAGGGAAUCUUCCACAAUGGACGAAAGUCUGAUGGAGCAACGCCGCGUGAGUGAAGAAGGGUUUCGGCUCGUAAAACUCUGUUGUUAAAGAAGAACAUAUCUGAGAGUAACUGUUCAGGUAUUGACGGUAUUUAACCAGAAAGCCACGGCUAACUACGUGCCAGCAGCCGCGGUAAUACGUAGGUGGCAAGCGUUGUCCGGAUUUAUUGGGCGUAAAGCGAGCGCAGGCGGUUUUUUAAGUCUGAUGUGAAAGCCUUCGGCUCAACCGAAGAAGUGCAUCGGAAACUGGGAAACUUGAGUGCAGAAGAGGACAGUGGAACUCCAUGUGUAGCGGUGAAAUGCGUAGAUAUAUGGAAGAACACCAGUGGCGAAGGCGGCUGUCUGGUCUGCAACUGACGCUGAGGCUCGAAAGUAUGGGUAGCAAACAGGAUUAGAUACCCUGGUAGUCCAUACCGUAAACGAUGAAUGCUAAGUGUUGGAGGGUUUCCGCCCUUCAGUGCUGCAGCUAACGCAUUAAGCAUUCCGCCUGGGGAGUACGGCCGCAAGGCUGAAACUCAAAGGAAUUGACGGGGGCCCGCACAAGCGGUGGAGCAUGUGGUUUAAUUCGAAGCUACGCGAAGAACCUUACCAGGUCUUGACAUACUAUGCAAAUCUAAGAGAUUAGACGUUCCCUUCGGGGACAUGGAUACAGGUGGUGCAUGGUUGUCGUCAGCUCGUGUCGUGAGAUGUUGGGUUAAGUCCCGCAACGAGCGCAACCCUUAUUAUCAGUUGCCAGCAUUAAGUUGGGCACUCUGGUGAGACUGCCGGUGACAAACCGGAGGAAGGUGGGGAUGACGUCAAAUCAUCAUGCCCCUUAUGACCUGGGCUACACACGUGCUACAAUGGAUGGUACAACGAGUUGCGAACUCGCGAGAGUAAGCUAAUCUCUUAAAGCCAUUCUCAGUUCGGAUUGUAGGCUGCAACUCGCCUACAUGAAGUCGGAAUCGCUAGUAAUCGCGGAUCAGCAUGCCGCGGUGAAUACGUUCCCGGGCCUUGUACACACCGCCCGUCACACCAUGAGAGUUUGUAACACCCAAAGUCGGUGGGGUAACCUUUUAGGAACCAGCCGCCUAAGGUGGGACAGAUGAUUAGGGUGAAGUCGUAACAAGGUAAC
This 1527-nucleotide ribosomal RNA is filed under the name Lactiplantibacillus plantarum subsp. plantarum. RNAcentral describes it as "bacterial SSU rRNA". It matches the Rfam family "Bacterial small subunit ribosomal RNA". Lineage: Bacteria; Bacillati; Bacillota; Bacilli; Lactobacillales; Lactobacillaceae. The record is from RNAcentral.